UUCGCAAUGCCCGAAAGGGUGACGAUGCGACGCCGCAUGAGCGAAGAAGGCCCUAGGGUUGUAAAGCUCUGUCGAGGGUUAUGAAAUAUAGAUGGGUUAAUACCCCAUUUAUUUGACAAAAGCCCAAAAGGAAGCCACGGCUAACUCUGUGCCGGCAGCCGCGGUAAUACAGAGGUGGCGAGCGUUGUUCGGUAUUAUUGGGCGUAAAGAGCACGUAGGUGGUUUUGUAAGUCAGGUGUGAAAGCCUUCUGUUCAAAGGAAGAACGGCAUCUGAAACUGCAGAUCUUGAGUGUAGGAGGGGAGAGUGGAACUUCUGGUGGAGCGGUGAAAUGCGUAGAUAUCAGAAGGAACGUCGGCGGCGAAAGCGACUCUCUGGCCUAUUACUGACACUGAGGUGCGAAAGUUAGGGGAGCAAACGGGAUUAGAUACCCCGGUAGUCCUAACCGUAAACGAUGGGCACUAAGUAGAGGGGUUUU
Molecule: ribosomal RNA, 476 nt
Filed under: uncultured anaerobic ammonium-oxidizing bacterium
Lineage: Bacteria
Description: bacterial SSU rRNA
Rfam family: Bacterial small subunit ribosomal RNA
Source: RNAcentral